GAUGAAGAACGUAGCGAAAUGCGAUACGUAAUGUGAAUUGCAGAAUUCAGUUAAUCAUCGAGUCUUUGAACGCACAUUGCGCCCCCUGGUAUUCCGGGGGGCAUGCCUGUCCGAGCGUCAUUGCUGCCCUCAAGCACGGCUUGUGUGUUGGGCCUCCGUCCUCCUCCCGGGGGACGGGCCCGAAAGGCAGCGGCGGCACCGCGUCCGGUCCUCGAGCGUAUGGGGCUUCGUCACCCGCUCUUGUAGGCCCGGCCGGCGCUUGCCGACACAUCAAUCUUUUUUCCAGGUUGACCUCGGAUCAGGUAGGGAUACCCGCUGAACUUAAGCAUAUCAAUAAGCGGAGGA
Molecule: unclassified non-coding RNA, 345 nt
Filed under: soil metagenome
Description: partial contains 5.8S ribosomal RNA, internal transcribed spacer 2, and large subunit ribosomal RNA
Rfam family: 5.8S ribosomal RNA (bases 1-120)
Source: RNAcentral